Long non-coding RNA from Pangasianodon hypophthalmus (striped catfish), 872 nucleotides. RefSeq lists it as uncharacterized. Lineage: Eukaryota; Metazoa; Chordata; Actinopteri; Siluriformes; Pangasiidae. The record is from RefSeq and is a predicted model, not a curated record. The transcript has 3 exons.
GUUAAUCAUCCAACCAUGACGCUUUCAUGGCCAGAUCACAGUUGAGCCAUGCCACCAUACCAGACACUGUGGCAUCACUCAUGCCUGACUGCAUUACAGUCAUUGUGUCUGUGUGUGUGUGUGUUUCUUUACACAUCACUGAAGAUUAAGACACUCGUUUAAUGCAAAGCUUUAAUAUGAGAUAGUCAUCAAAGGAGCUGGGCCUGAAUCUCAGAGCAUACUUAUAUGGCAUAUAUAACUGGAUGCCAUCUACAUCAGGUGCAAGGCUUUAUAUGGUUAAUCACUUUCAAUUACUUUUAAUAACAACGUAGCUAUAAAACAUGUGAACCCUGAUGAAUGUUUUUAUAUGUAUUUUAUUUCCAAGUCAAAGAAAAGAACAGAUAAUAAUGAUUCCCUAAUGCAUACCAUAACUGUAACUGUGUUGUACAAAAUUUUGUCCUGUGUGGUAGGACUGACACAAACCCAAACUCUAUCAUACAAGUGUAAACAAAUGACAUCAGAUGAAUAUUUCUUAGGCCUGACUGUUGCACACACUUUUAAAAAGUGUCCUGUAUAAAUAAAAUCCCAUUGUACAAGUAGGAAAGUGGUGCAAAAUGUAACAGUGUUUAAUCUACAGACAAGGCACAGAGUCAGCUUGGCCGAGAUAUGUUUCUUCUCCUUUAACUCUGAAAUGUCAGCAUGAACAGAGAGAAAAAUUUUCUCUCAUUUUCUAUAUCCUUAAAUGGUGCAUUGGGAGGCCCCUACAAACUUUCCGCUAGCGAUGGAAGCUGAAGAAAAAAGCAAUAAAGAACCUUAUGACAUUCAGCCCAGUUACUGCCCAUGGAAACAAAGAGAUGUUUUCUUUUGCUGUGAAAUAGUGUGCUGGAAAUGUG